CCUACGGGAGGCAGCAGUGAGGGAUAUUGCGCAAUGGGCGAAAGCCUGACGCAGCGACGCCGCGUGGGCGAGGAAGGCCUUCGGGUUGUAAAGCUCUUUCGGCAGGAACGAAACGGCGGACUCUAACAUAGUCUGUCAAUGACGGUACCUGAAGAAGAAGCACCGGCUAACUACGUGCCAGUAGCCGCGGUAAUACGUAGGGUGCGAGCGUUAAUCGGAAUUACUGGGCGUAAAGCGUGCGCAGGCGGCUUUGUAAGACGGAUGUAAAAUCCCUGGGCUUAACCUAGGAACUGCGUUCGUGACUGCAAAGCUAGAGUGCGGCAGAGGGGGGUGGAAUUCCUGGUGUAGCAGUGAAAUGCGUAGAGAUCAGGAGGAACACCGAUGGCGAAGGCGGCCCCCGGGGUUGGCACUGACGCUCAGGCACGAAAGCGUGGGGAGCAAACAGGAUUAGAUCCCCGGGUAGU
This 464-nucleotide ribosomal RNA is filed under the name uncultured Rhodocyclaceae bacterium. Its description in RNAcentral is "partial 16S ribosomal RNA". It matches the Rfam family "Bacterial small subunit ribosomal RNA", at positions 338 to 794 of the family's 1533-position model. The record is from RNAcentral. Lineage: Bacteria; Pseudomonadati; Pseudomonadota; Betaproteobacteria; Rhodocyclales; Rhodocyclaceae.